Non-coding RNA from Paramuricea clavata, 426 nucleotides. The record is from the annotation of a GenBank genome assembly. NCBI's taxonomy places the organism in Eukaryota, Metazoa, Cnidaria, Anthozoa, Malacalcyonacea, Plexauridae.
UAUACAAUAAAAUAACAAACCUUGUAUGGAUAAAUGUUCAUUUCACACGCACGCUAUUAACAGCUGCUUAAUAAUUAACUUAUGUAUUCGUAAACAUUUAGGCCACAUAAAAAAAAUUACUUGUUUAGCGUCCCCGCCCGACCUGAUAAAAGUCCCCGACCUCCAAUUUUUUUUUUUUUUUUUUAAAUCCGUCCGAGUUUAGUGCAAAAACUCUCUAUAAAAAAGACCGUUUUACUUGAAAAAAUGGUGAUUUUAUUCUUCUGGGAGCUAUGUAAUACGUUUACUCCUUCCUCGCAGCUAAAGUGUUCGCGCGUGACCGCCAAACGGUAUAAUCAUUUCUGUUUUAUUAAAAACAUGAACGGUAUUAAAAAACAUGAACGGAUUUUGAAAGAAUUAAAGUGAGUUUUGACUGUGGUAAUAUACUGG